This 235-nucleotide ribosomal RNA is filed under the name Salmonella enterica subsp. enterica serovar Weltevreden. RNAcentral's name for it is "partial 16S ribosomal RNA". It matches the Rfam family "Bacterial small subunit ribosomal RNA", at positions 893 to 1127 of the family's 1533-position model. Lineage: Bacteria; Pseudomonadati; Pseudomonadota; Gammaproteobacteria; Enterobacterales; Enterobacteriaceae. The record is from RNAcentral.
GUUAAAACUCAAAUGAAUUGACGGGGGCCCGCACAAGCGGUGGAGCAUGUGGUUUAAUUCGAUGCAACGCGAAGAACCUUACCUGGUCUUGACAUCCACAGAACUUUCCAGAGAUGGACUGGUGCCUUCGGGAACUGUGAGACAGGUGCUGCAUGGCUGUCGUCAGCUCGUGUUGUGAAAUGUUGGGUUAAGUCCCGCAACGAGCGCAACCCUUAUCCUUUGUUGCCAGCGGUCC